This 76-nucleotide transfer RNA is filed under the name Sarcina sp. DSM 11001. RNAcentral describes it as "tRNA_Pseudo_CCA". It matches the Rfam family "tRNA". From Rfam's summary of the family: Transfer RNA (tRNA) molecules are approximately 80 nucleotides in length. Their secondary structure includes four short double-helical elements and three loops (D, anti-codon, and T loops). Lineage: Bacteria; Bacillati; Bacillota; Clostridia; Eubacteriales; Clostridiaceae. The record is from RNAcentral.
AGAUCUGUGGUGUAAACGGAUAGCAUGGAGGUCUCCAAAACCUCAGAUUUCGGAUCAUACCCGAACGGAUCUGCCA